UACGAGGGGGGCGAGCGUUGUUCGGAAUUAUUGGGCGUAAAGGGUGCGUAGGCGGUUUGGUAAGUCUGAUGUGAAAUCUAUGGGCUCAACUCAUAGUCUGCAUCGGAAACUGCCGGGCUUGAGUAUGGGAGAGGUGAGUGGAACUGCGAGUGUAGAGGUGAAAUUCGUAGAUAUUCGCAAGAACACCAGUGGCGAAGGCGGCUCACUGGCCCGGUACUGACGCUGAGGUGCGAAAGCGUGGGGAGCAAACAGG
Molecule: ribosomal RNA, 253 nt
Filed under: uncultured bacterium
Lineage: Bacteria
Description: partial 16S ribosomal RNA
Rfam family: Bacterial small subunit ribosomal RNA
Source: RNAcentral